RNAcentral lists this ribosomal RNA (626 nucleotides) under uncultured bacterium. Its description in RNAcentral is "partial 16S ribosomal RNA". The record is from RNAcentral.
CCAUUACCGAGUGGUUCCGACUCUAGUCAUCGACCAGACUCUCCUACUAGUCGGUGUGACCUUGACUUUGUGCCAGGUCUGAGGAUGCCCUCCGUCGUCACCCCUUAGAACGCGUUACCUGCUUUCAGACUGCGUCGGUGCGGCGCGCUCACUUCUUCCGGAAGCCCAACAUUUCGAGACAGCCUUCCCUGUUUUUGGGAAAUCCAAUUAUCGGAUCUCCGAACUACCAUGGAAGUUUCCUUCGUGGCCGAUUGAAGCACGGUCGUCGGCGCCAUUAUGCUUCCCACGUUCGCAACGAGCCUUAAUAACCCGCAUUUCCCUUCCAUCCACCAAUGCAUACAGACUCCACUUUCGGGGUUCGAAUUGAACCCUCCACGGAACCUUUGCCGCAUUGAUCUCAUGACCUCUCCAAACAUCUUAAGGGCCACAUCGCCACUUUACGCAUCUCUAGCCCUCCUUAUGGUCUCCGCUUCCGCCGUUUGACCUGUCAAUGACUGUGAUUUGAAGCUUUCGCACCCCUCGUUUGUCCUAAUCUAUGGGACGAUCAGGUGCGACAUUUGCUACCCAUGAUCCUAAGCGCCCUCAACUGGGGACGCCUAGGCCUCGAUUGCGCUAUUCAUGGGGCG